RNAcentral lists this small RNA (83 nucleotides) under Marmota monax (woodchuck). Lineage: Eukaryota; Metazoa; Chordata; Mammalia; Rodentia; Sciuridae. The record is from RNAcentral.
GCCAGGUGUGGUGGCCCACACCUGUAAUUCCAGCUACUGGGGAGGCAGGGGCAGGAGGAUAGAAAAUUCGCAGCCAGCCUGGU